UACAGAGGUCCCAAGCGUUGUUCGGAUUCACUGGGCGUAAAGGGUGCGUAGGCAGGUCUUUAAGUCAGGGGUGAAAUCCUGGAGCUCAACUCCAGAACUGCCUUUGAUACUGAGGAUCUUGAGUUCGGGAGAGGUGAGUGGAACUGCGAGUGUAGAGGUGAAAUUCGUAGAUAUUCGCAAGAACACCAGUGGCGAAGGCGGCUCACUGGCCCGAUACUGACGCUGAGGCACGAAAGCGUGGGGAGCAAACAGG
RNAcentral lists this ribosomal RNA (253 nucleotides) under uncultured bacterium. RNAcentral describes it as "partial 16S ribosomal RNA". It matches the Rfam family "Bacterial small subunit ribosomal RNA", at positions 524 to 776 of the family's 1533-position model. The record is from RNAcentral.